UACGUAGGGUGCGAGCGUUGUCCGGAAUUAUUGGGCGUAAAGAGCUUGUAGGCGGUUGUCGCGUCUGCCGUGAAAGUCCGGGCUCAACUCCGGAUCUGCGGUGGGUACGGGCAGACUAGAGUGAUGUAGGGGAGACUGGAAUCCUGUGUAGCGGUGAAAUGCGCAGAUAUCAGGAGGAACACCGAUGGCGAAGGCAGGUCUCUGGCAUUAACUGACGCUGAGGAGCGAAAGCAUGGGGAGCGAACAGG
RNAcentral lists this ribosomal RNA (248 nucleotides) under uncultured bacterium. RNAcentral describes it as "partial 16S ribosomal RNA". It matches the Rfam family "Bacterial small subunit ribosomal RNA", at positions 524 to 776 of the family's 1533-position model. The record is from RNAcentral.